RNAcentral lists this small nuclear RNA (163 nucleotides) under Dasypus novemcinctus (nine-banded armadillo). RNAcentral's name for it is "U1 spliceosomal RNA (ENSDNOG00000045685.1)". It matches the Rfam family "U1 spliceosomal RNA". Rfam says of the family: U1 is a small nuclear RNA (snRNA) component of the spliceosome (involved in pre-mRNA splicing). Its 5' end forms complementary base pairs with the 5' splice junction, thus defining the 5' donor site of an intron. The record is from RNAcentral. Lineage: Eukaryota; Metazoa; Chordata; Mammalia; Cingulata; Dasypodidae.
CAUCAUAUCUGGCAGGGGAGAUACCAUGAUCACAAAGGUGGUUCACCCAGGGCAAGCCUUAUCCAUUGCACUCCAAAUGUGCUGACCCUCUGAUUUUCCCAAAUGUGGGAAACUCAACUGCAUAAUUUGUAGUAGUGGGGGACUGUCUUCCCACUCUCCCCUG